CUGAGAUAUGGGGAGCGCCUCUGCCCCGCCGCCCCAUCUGGGAUGCGAGGAGCGCCUCUGCCCGGCCGCGACCCCGUCUGGGAGUUGUUCAUGUAUUCUAGAGGAAAAGAAAGGAAUAUCAUUAUAUACUGCUUAUGGGAUUCUGUGCUGCGGAGAUCAUUACGGAAGCAACAGUAGCAGGUGGCCUGGCCAUACAGGGAUUCCUUACUCGCAGCAGAGAAUGUUGCUGCCACUCAAAGUCACCAGGGGCUGAAGAGCUCCUGUGGAGACCCACAUCAUCUAACAACACACAUACUCAAAACAGGGAAAUGUGCAUUUUCGGGAGAGGAAGAGACAAACCUUUUGUUUAGCUAACUGGCAUGACAGAGUGUGACAUACAUGUGCUCCUGGAAGAACGGUGUUGGGUGUCUGCACUCAAAAUCUUGAGCAUAGGCAACUGGAUGAAGGGCUCUGUGGCAUUGAUUUUCAUUGUGUGUGUGUUAAUAUUUACAUUUAUAAUUAAAUAAAUAAUCGAAAUUAUGCUGAACUGAAAAAA
RNAcentral lists this long non-coding RNA (535 nucleotides) under Homo sapiens (human). RNAcentral's name for it is "non-protein coding lnc-OR6C70-1:5". Lineage: Eukaryota; Metazoa; Chordata; Mammalia; Primates; Hominidae. The record is from RNAcentral.